AUGAACGCUGGCGGCGUGCUUAACACAUGCAAGUCGAGCGAAGUUAUUAGAGCUUGCUUGAUAACUUAGCGGCGGACGGGUGAGUAACGCGUGGGUAACCUGCCCUGUACAGAGGAAUAACAGUUAGAAAUGACUGCUAAUGCCUCAUAAGCCGACGGAAUGGCAUCUUUUUGUCGGAAAAGAUUUAUCGGUACAGGAGGGACCCGCGUCUGAUUAGCUAGUUGGUGAGGUAACGGCCCACCAAGGCGACGAUCAGUAGCCGACCUGAGAGGGUGAUCGGCCACAUUGGAACUGAGACACGGUCCAAACUCCUACGGGAGGCAGCAGUGGGGAAUAUUGCACAAUGGGGGAAACCCUGAUGCAGCAACGCCGCGUGAAGGAAGAAGUAUUUCGGUAUGUAAACUUCUAUCGACAGGGAAGAUAAUGACGGUACCUGAAUAAGAAGCACCGGCUAAAUACGUGCCAGCCGCCGC
Molecule: ribosomal RNA, 473 nt
Filed under: uncultured bacterium
Lineage: Bacteria
Description: bacterial SSU rRNA
Rfam family: Bacterial small subunit ribosomal RNA
Source: RNAcentral